Regulatory RNA element from Paenibacillus sp. FSL R5-0912, 80 nucleotides. It matches the Rfam family "Glycine riboswitch aptamer". Rfam says of the family: This family represents the bacterial glycine riboswitch. Glycine riboswitches usually consist of two metabolite-binding aptamers domains with similar structures in tandem. The record is from Rfam. NCBI's taxonomy places the organism in Bacteria, Bacillati, Bacillota, Bacilli, Caryophanales, Paenibacillaceae.
GGAGCAGCUUCUGGAGAGACUGCGGGAGACCGCAGCGCCGAAGGGUUCACAAUCUCAGGCAAAAGGACAGAAGAGUACGG